RNAcentral lists this ribosomal RNA (406 nucleotides) under uncultured bacterium. Its description in RNAcentral is "partial 16S ribosomal RNA". It matches the Rfam family "Bacterial small subunit ribosomal RNA", at positions 28 to 526 of the family's 1533-position model. The record is from RNAcentral.
GAUGAACGCUAGCUACAGGCUUAACACAUGCAAGUCGAGGGACCGGCGCACGGGUGAGUAACACGUAUCCAACCUUCCCUUUACUCGGGGAUAGCCUUUCGAAAGAAAGAUUAAUACCCGAUAUAAAGGAUGGGGAUGGGUUCGAUUAGGUGGUUGGUGAGGGAACGGCUAACCAAGCCUUCGAUGGAUAGGGGUGCGGAGAGGAAGGUCCACCACGACUGAACUGAGGCACGGUCCAAACUGCUACGGGAGGCAGCGGUGAGUAAUAUUGGUCAAUGGGCGCUAGCCUGAACCAGCCAAGUAGCGUGAAGGAGGAAGGCUUAUGGGUCGUAAACUUCUUUUAUAUAAGAAUAUGUAUUAUAUGAAUAAGGAUCGGCUAACUCCGUGCCAGCAGCCGCGGUAAUUC